Molecule: long non-coding RNA, 6524 nt
Filed under: Lactuca sativa (garden lettuce)
Lineage: Eukaryota; Viridiplantae; Streptophyta; Magnoliopsida; Asterales; Asteraceae
Description: long non-coding RNA (LSAT_LNC005270)
Source: RNAcentral
CAACUUAGUACCUUCAAUAACUAAGCAAGGUUCCACAAACUCCAGAUCUAAGGCCAAUCCUUGAAGCUUCAAUGAUUCCCCUCUUUCUUCUUCCUUCAAAAUCACCCACAAAUCGCUUGGAAGCUUGAAUGAGCAACAAUGGGGCUUAGGGAUCAGUGUUCUAGGUGAAAGAGGCAGUAAAGGAACCCUAGGGGAGAGAAUGAGACGUUUAAAUAGGCUCCAAGUCCCGGAUUUAGGGUUUUCCUCAUUCAGACCAGACACGCCGAGUCUCCUUAGCCGACUCGCCGAGUCGGUCACUUACUCCUUGACCCGGAUCCCGCUCGGACUCGCCGAGUUCCUCCUUGGAAUCUUUGAGUCGUCCCUUAAACUUAGGGUUUUCUUUCCUUUCUUGGCCUUCCUAACUUUGGGUGUUACAACUCUCCCCCACUUAAACUAAACUUCAUCCUCGAAGUUUGCUAUGGCCAACUGCCUGCGAUCUGCUUCCAAAUACUCUACUAAUUGAUCCAACUCCAGCUGCCUACCUUCGCUGGUAUUUCGCCCGGUCAUUCCGAAUAACAUUAAUCCUUGCGGAUAAUCAUCUCGGGUCAACCCCGACCCUGAACAUUCUGGAAACACAACUUACUCAACCGACAAUCCUUCUGGUACUCACCGAGUACUGCACUGAACCCAUAGGGGUUCACCCCUCCUUUCCUUGUGCUAUUUCCUUGCCUUCCCAAGGCGAUGCUCCAUAACCAACUAUUUCCUCUGUCACUGUGAAGAUCCUAUCUUCACCAAACCAUUACUCCCGCUACUACCAAUAUGGGUCGUUAUCGCCAGUAUCCACUGGGCAUUUCUUUCUACUAUAAUUUGGUGUCGAGCACCCCACGAUCAACUAACUGAAUUCCACCAUACACUGCAUACCCGCACUGUUACUGACUGCAAUUUCUGCUAUUCCUCAUCUGCCUUCCGAAUGACUGAGACCACCCUGGUCCCUACCGUCCUACCAAUAUCUGGAUUAUCGGCUCCCCUCAGUUGCUAGUCCCCACACAACUCCUAGUCGCUCCCAGUGAACUAACUGCAUUGGACCGAAGUUCGGAACUCACGGAAUCAUCACAUAGCAUAACAUGUCAACUAGCAUGAACACAUGUACUGCAUAAUGCAUCGGACCAUAGUCCGGAACACAUAACUCAUACCAUGUCUGCAUCACAAAGACACCAAUUAACUGCUCAAUCUAUUCUACCAUUCAGGCACUACAAUCUUAGGAUCCCCGAUCCCUUAUCUUGACACUAAGAUCCCUACCAGGUCCCACCUGUGCUGCUAAAACUCACGGGCCUCGCCCACGGGUCUCACCCGCCUCUAUCCUUCUAGUCCUACCUGUCUAGCCACUCUCGUUCGGGCCUCACCCACGGGUCUCACCCAACCAUACUACUGAGCAACCUUGCUCUCAGGUCUCACCUAUACUGCUCCUCUCAUACAGGCCUUGCCCACGGGUCUCACCCAACUAUAUAUUGGAGCGGCCUCUCCCAAGGUCUCACCUCUCUAGGGCUAUACAGGCAAACUCCCUAUCAUUCUCAUCCACUACCCAUUCCUGAUCCCUAUCUAAUCACUAGGAGAUAAGGGCCUCGCCCCAACCCCGCCAACGAAGCUACUAUGGAAUGCUACGGCUUACCCGUAGUCUUACAUCACCUUCCAUUACCGACUACUAGUGAAUGCUACGGCUGCCCCGUAGUCUUACAACACUUUUCCACCACUGACUGCUAAUACGAAAGCACCUUGUGCUAUCAGUUCUCAAGAUCCUCCUUCUGACUCACUUGAGUCCUACAGGCGAUCCUCCAACCUGAAUUCCCAACCACAUACUAACUAUCAUCAAUACACGUACUAGCUGAGGGGGAGUUUCUCAAACUCCCGACCCUGAACUCCUCAAUCCAUCAAAUGUUGUGCUACUUCUGUUUCUUCUCAGAGGUCGAGUACUCAUCCUGGAUCCGCGUGCUCUUACCUUUGCCCACUCGGAGGAUUCUGCCCCACUUCGUUCCUGCUUACCCCUUGCUGCUCAAUUCUCGAAGAGAAAUCCCAAUCCUUGCUACCAUUCCGUAAUCAAUCUGCUGAGGGACCCAAGCUUACCAUAGCUAGGGAUCUAACCAAUCCAUCUCUAAAUUAUACAACUCCGAACUAGCGAGACGUACCAAGUUCCUCCCAAGCAUGCUACAGUUACUGCAUCCUAUAUAACCUUCUCCAAUAGGGCACAUCCCCUAACUACCAUUCAAAUAUCCAAGGUAUGCAGAUGACAUAUAACUCAAUCACAAGCAAGCCGCACAAAAAAAUAAAAUNCAAACCGCAAAAAAAAUAAAAUGCUCAUACCGAUAAUGAUGCAGAACCAUAACAAUACAAUCAUGCACAAAUAAAAGAACUGAAAACGGAAGUGGCAUACCUGCAACGUCCGGUGUUGCUCGUGCCUCCAAGGUAGUCAUCUGAAAAGCCAUGCCUCCUACCGCAGGCGCCUCUGUGCGGCCCUGACGGCCGUCUAUGAUCCUCAAAGUUGCAGGGGUAGGUGCCAUCACCUGUCCUACCGAAAACAAACUGGGGCAAUGGGCCUUCUUGUGGCCCCGCUAAUUUCAGUGAAAACAUAUCAAGUCUGAUCCUUACAUGGUGGUAAUAGUACAAUCCCUACUAAAAUGACCCAUCUGACCACACUUGAAGCAGCCAGACUCACCACCGCUACCACUCCUGCACGCACCCCCGUGCGCCCUGCUACACUUCCCUCACCGGUUGCGGUCCUGAUAAUCCCUCGAUCUCGAAUUCGAUCCCUUAGGCCUUUUUCCCGAGCCUAUAACUGUCUGAAUCUCAUCCGGCUUUCUCUUCCGGAUCUGCUCCAAAUCAAUCUCCCUCUCUCUAGCUCGCGCGAUCAUAUCCUCCAACGUUUUGCAGCUGGACCUGCUCACAAACUGUCUGAUGUCAUCCCUCAACAUCUCAUGGUAUCCAACCUUCUUCAUCUCCUCAUCCGCGACAUACUGCGGUACAAGAAGAGCUCUCUCCCUGAACUUGGCGGUGAUCUUCGCCACAGUCUCAGUGGUCUGCGUCAAAUCCUGAAACUCCCGUGCCAACUGCUGUACCUCAAUAAUUGGCGNACCUGGCUGAAAAAUCACCCCUUGUCAUCGCCUCCAACGCGGCAUCAUCACCCAAAGCAUGACCAAUCUCUUCCCACCAAUCCCUCGCUCUAUCCUUCAGAAGACAGGAAGCAAGUCUGACCUUGUCCCCUUCGGGACACCGGCUCGUACGGAAUGUGUUGGCAACAUUAGCCGACCACCUGCUGCUAGCGAUAGGGUCCUUAGCCCCAUGAUAAUCUGGCGCCCCGCAAGCCCUGAACUCUCGAAAUGUCAAAGUAUGCACUCCCAUCAAUGCCAUCAUCUUGGUACUGAAGGCUCCCAGCCUCUCAUCCAAAAUCUCCAAUAUACCCUCCUUGACCAUGCCAAAGAUCACAUGAGUCUGAUCUAGAAUAUUGCGCGUAACCUCAGCUAAUAUCAACUCCCUCAUUCGCUCCUUGAGCUGCUCGGCUCCUGAACCCCAGCUUGAUACCUCGCCGGCGCCUGAUCCGCCCAAUGGUCUCUCUUGCAACGUCACCAUGCUGAAAAUAUAAUACAUCCUCUAUCAGAAUACUUAUAACUCAUGCGAGACCAAAUACACACCCUACCAGGUUCCUGGUCUUGUCUCGGCCUUUCCCAAAUCGAGUACAGAUCCUCUGCUUUCAGUAGUACGGGCCCAUACUACCUUCCACAUCUAUCCGUACCUUCCUCAGGAAUUGCUUCGACUCCACCAGGUCCCUUUUCCACUACUACUGCUCCCAGCACUAUCUCAUCCUAGGCUUACCCUAGGGAACCUCCGACUCAACUGAAACCAAUCCUCAGCUGCUGAAGGUCUCCUUGUGAUGCCAAUUGGCCAUCACCUGAAUACCAUCACAUGUGACGACGCUCAGAUAAUCCUUUGAGUAAAAGACUCGUCCUUACUACGGUUGGACUUAGACAAGAGCUGCACAAUAGGGCCAAAUCUAGUACUCUCAGAUUAUUCAACCCUGAUGACAUGUGAGGUGACGUAUUCACCUAAUGGCUAACUCCCAUCACUUAGAAUCCCACAAUGCACAAAGCAAGCAACAUUAGGACAAGGGAGAAUCUAACCAUAACAUACUCAAGCAAUCAUAUCCACAUAGCAAGAAUCUGUACAAGCACGCAACGCAAACUCAUAAACUCAGGGAUAACCUAAACAGGCUAUCCUACUACUGUCUAAUCAGCACUAUCAUGCAGCUCAAAGCACAUAUAAUAGGCACAUAAGGCAUCCUCCCUAGAUCCUUAGUCAUAAUCUAGCAUGAUGUUCUAUUAAUUGAUAAUCAAAACAUAACUUGUAUGGGUAUUUUGGGGUACUUACUUGAGCUCGGCUGAUUGCAUGCACCACACCCUUUUCUCUUAUCAAAAUUCCUUUCUUUCUGAAUUCUUUUUUCUUUUCUAAAACUGUUUUCUUUCUCAAAACUCUCUUUUAACAAUUUGUCUGUUCAUUUUGAAAACCUCUAUACCAAUUCCUCAGUUUGAGUUCAGAUACACCCGAGAGUAUAUCCGAAUCCCUCAAACCAAGGCUCUGAUACCAUCUUGUAACGUCCCAAAAUUUAAGACUAAAAAUUUCUUUUAAUAAACAUUACUUAAAGCAGAAUCACCAAUCCAAAACAUAAUCAGAGUAUUAAUUUUCAAAUCGUAUGUUCAUUAUCAGAGUAAAACAUUCCCAGACUGUCCAAUCUAUGGUGUGUGCCAUGCGAUCACCCCGAGCUCUUCCCUCCGCUACCAGAAGUACCUGAAACCAAAAUUGAAAACCGUAAGCACGAAGCUUAGUGAGUUCCCCACCCUACCACAUACCAUGCAUAACCACAUACUACACAUACUGGGCCACACCCGCUAUUCUGGGCCUCGCCCCCUACCUCGGGCCUCGCCUGNUCGAGCCCCGCUCGGAUACAAAUCUGUUUCACUUAGGGCUCUCCUGUCACAGGGCCUCGCCCGCUAACAUAUAAUAGCACAUAAAACAUAUCACAUCACAUAAGCUAAACACAUACUAACAGAUCUUGUCCUAAGGCCUCGCCUGUCUCUGGGCCUCGCCCUUGUCAUGCUACUGAUGAGUCAUGGACCCUCGUCCAUACUCCUACUGAUAGUGAGGUACGGGCCCAGCCCACCGUCAGUCCUUCCCUAACUUGGGCCUCUCCCCUUAUCUGCUGCUAGUGAGAUGUGGAACACCAUCCACACUCUGCUAUUGGUGAGUUACAGGACCUCGCCCUCACUCACCUCCCUACCAGGCACAUACAAGUAUCACACAGAAAACAAGUAUAAACUAUCACAUAAACCAUUCCUUGGGCACCCGCCCGCUAUGAUUGGACCUUGUUCUGAAUAUUAUACUAGCAUAUUGUGCCUAGGGCUAACCCCCGGGUCUUCUACUCAUAACUACAUGGGCCGACAUUAUGGCCGUAGACCCAUUCACACAAAAGGGAAACUCACCUGCACUUGCUGAACACGCUGAUAACUCCUCUAGCUGCUGCCCGGCAACUCUCUAAACUCCUGCACCACUAGCUCCCCGACCUACCAAUAUCAAUGCAACACUUAGUCUAACUAUUCCCCGAAAGUCAACUAAGUCAACUCUGGUCAACGGUACUUGCCGAGUCUGCCUACUGACUUGCCGAGUUCAUAUUCUCAGAGUCCUUCCAUUCGCGACUCGACUCGCCGAGUCAGUCCAUGACUCGUCGAGUCUACCGAUUUCCGAGUCCUGACCUGUCCAACUCACUGAGUCUCCACUUGACUCACUGAUUCGAGUCUCAACUCGAAAGGUUUGGGGUUUCGCGUCCUGACUCACCGAGUCCAAGAACAGACUCGCCGAGUCCAAGGCAAUCUUCAUCCUACUCUACGAGUUGUUCACCCCACUCGUCGAGUUCCUCAUAAUCUUCAUGCUACUCACCGAGUCUACACAAAGGACUCGCCGAGUCCAUUCAGAUCUUCAUACAUGCAGAUGACUUUUGAGUCAUGCAUGGACUCCAAACUGUAGACCUACCCUUCCCAAGCCUAUUCCUUACGUAAAGUUGCAAACUUUACGUGUAGAGAAGGAGAUCUAGGCUAAAUACACAGUAAACUAGGGUUUAAGGCAAGGAGGCUCCAUAAUCAGCUCCAGGGUAGUUACUUUAUGCUUCACUAGUCCAAAAUGUGCUUAGAUCCGAAGUAGCAACUUCAGAUCUGGCUUCUAACUCAAGUAGAUAACUAAUCAUGGCUAAAAAACCCCAAAACUCACAACUAGAAUAGAUCUACAUGAAGGAAACGACUUAGUACCUUCAAUAACUCAGCAAGGUUCCACAAACUCCAGAUCUAAGGCCAUUCCUUCAAGCUUCAAUGAUUCCCCUCUUUCUUCUUCCUUCAAAAUCACCCAAAAAUAGCUUGGAAGCUUGAAUGAGCAACAAUGGGGCUUAGGGUUCGAUGUUCUGGGUGAAAGAGGCAGUAAAGGAACCCUAGGGGAGAGAAUGAGACGUUUAA